RNAcentral lists this ribosomal RNA (670 nucleotides) under uncultured bacterium. RNAcentral's name for it is "bacterial SSU rRNA". It matches the Rfam family "Bacterial small subunit ribosomal RNA", at positions 9 to 694 of the family's 1533-position model. The record is from RNAcentral.
GAGUUUGAUCCUGGCUCAGGAUGAACGCUGGCGGCGUGCCUAACACAUGCAAGUCGAGCGAUGAAGUUUCCUUCGGGAAAUGGAUUAGCGGCGGACGGGUGAGUAACACGUGGGUAACCUGCCUCAUAGUGGGGGAUAGCCUUCCGAAAGGGAGAUUAAUACCGCAUAACAUCAUUAGAUGGCAUCAUUUAGUGAUUAAAGGAUUUAUUCGCUAUGAGAUGGACCCGCGUCGCAUUAGCUAGUUGGUAGGGUAAUGGCUUACCAAGGCGACGAUGCGUAGCCGACCUGAGAGGGUGAUCGGCCACAUUGGGACUGAGACACGGCCCAGACUCCUACGGGAGGCAGCAGUGGGGAAUAUUGCACAAUGGGGGAAACCCUGAUGCAGCAACGCCGCGUGAGUGAUGACGGUCUUCGGAUUGUAAAGCUCUGUCUUUGGGGACGAUAAUGACGGUACCCAAGGAGGAAGCCACGGCUAACUACGUGCCAGCAGCCGCGGUAAUACGUAGGUGGCGAGCGUUAUCCGGAAUUAUUGGGCGUAAAGGGAGCGUAGGCGGAUAAUUAAGUGGGAUGUGAAAUACUCAGGCUCAACCUGGGGGCUGCAUUCCAAACUGAUUAUCUAGAGUGCAGGAGAGGAGAGUGGAAUUCCUAGUGUAGCGGUGAAAUGCGUAGA